CAAAAAUUAACCCAUGCAUG
Molecule: unclassified non-coding RNA, 20 nt
Filed under: Acacia victoriae
Lineage: Eukaryota; Viridiplantae; Streptophyta; Magnoliopsida; Fabales; Fabaceae
Description: partial small subunit rRNA
Source: RNAcentral